Transfer RNA from Fonticula alba, 72 nucleotides. It matches the Rfam family "tRNA". Rfam says of the family: Transfer RNA (tRNA) molecules are approximately 80 nucleotides in length. The record is from Rfam. NCBI's taxonomy places the organism in Eukaryota, Rotosphaerida, Fonticulaceae.
GCGGCUGUGGUCAAGUGGUAAGAUGCUUCCCUCCCAAGGAAGAGAUCCAGGGUUCGAACCCCUGCUGUCGCA